GGGCCGCUAGCUCAGUGGUAGAGCUGCCGACUUUUAAUCGGAGUGUCCAGAGUUCGAUCCUCUGGCGGCCCA
RNAcentral lists this transfer RNA (72 nucleotides) under Micromonospora chokoriensis. Its description in RNAcentral is "tRNA-Lys". It matches the Rfam family "tRNA". Rfam says of the family: Transfer RNA (tRNA) molecules are approximately 80 nucleotides in length. Their secondary structure includes four short double-helical elements and three loops (D, anti-codon, and T loops). The record is from RNAcentral. Lineage: Bacteria; Bacillati; Actinomycetota; Actinomycetes; Micromonosporales; Micromonosporaceae. RNAcentral also lists the same sequence under 12 other names.